GAGACAGAUGGUAACAUGAAGGGGGGAAAGCCAGCACAACUGAGAGAGUGCUUAGGAUUAUAAAUGAGUGUUGUUGGGGGAAGGCUCCUUCGACUCUGUUCCCCUCUAUGUGGGGGUGUGGUUGAAGAAGACACACAGAGACCUGAUUCACCAGAUCAGUUAAAGGCUGGUUUGGAGCUCCAGCAUGGGGCUUUCUGUCUGCGGCCACUCCUAUCCCCAGGCAAUCUCUACAACAUAAAUGAUCCAACUGUGUCUGCAUCCCAGAAACCAAAACUACAAGUCAGCGUGAAGACGGACCGCCUGGAUUCCAAUACUGGCUCUAGGUCUAUUAUCUGUGGGGACUUAGAAGAGAGACUUCAUUUUCUCAAGGCUUUUGCUUCAGCUGGAGAAUGGGAAUAAAUGAGAAAAUACAAGGAAGAAUACAAAUCCCGGCCUCAGUAAUGUUCGCCACCACCAUUGGCUCACAAAGGGGUAUGAAUCAAAUUAAGCUUGUUUUGCCGUGGGUGAAGGAAGAGGAAUAUAAUAGCGUGAAUCAGAGCAAUUAUCAAAUAUGCGGCACUCACUAAAAAUUAAUUACAAUCAUUGCCUUCUCUCACAAGUCUGCCAGAAGAUGCCAGAAAGCUUUUGUUAAUCAAUAUAAUCCUUUACACAAAUUCUUGGAGCUUGAACUUGAUUAUCACCCUCUUUCCCUUUCAAAAUUUCCUUUUACACAUCAAUUUCAGAAACAGGAAUUCUUUCGGAGCUUCUGUGAGAUAAUCUUUGGCCCUUGGAGAUAAGUGUGAAAACAACGUGAAUAAUACUGGGUAGGGACGAGGUUACAUAUUAUCUAGCCAUGAGCACGGCAAGCAAAAUGCUACAUUUAUGAAAACAAUUGCUCAGAAAAUGAGUUUAACCUCUCAAGAGCAUUCCAAAUGGGAAUGCCACAUGCAAAGAGCAAACCUGAGGAAAGUGAGCAUUCUUUUUACAAUUGUUUUCCGUGAGAAGAAAGUUGCCACACAGAACUUUUGCACUGCCUUAGGCUGAAAUGAGACAGUCUUCAUCAAUCUUUAGGAAUUCACUGGGAGUAAGUGAAGAAAAAUAGAUCAAGACAGAGAAAACUGAGGGGCAGGUACUUAACACUGGUGAAAAUGCUGAUUAGGACACCUGCAUUCAAUUCCUGGCUCUGGCUCCUGACUCCACCUUCCGGCUAAUGCAGAUCCUGGGAGGCAGAUGAUGGCUCCAAUAGUGAGAUUUUUGCCACCCACAUGGAAGACCUGGAUUGAGUUCCCAGUUCCCGAAUGCAGUAGCACUGCAGGCAGUUAGAGAGUAAAUCAGUGGAUGGGAGUUUCUCUCUCUCUCUCUCUCUCUCUCUCUCUCUCUCUCUCUUUCUCUCCCUCUCAAAUAACUAUUAAACUGAUGAAAAAGAUAGUCAUUGCAGAAAAAAAAAAACAGUGGAAGCAAUAGCUUGUAACAAUUCUCAGAGUUCAAAUUUUCUCAAAACAAGAGUCCUUGGGCAGUCCCUAUGAGAUGUCUCUUCUCCCAAACAUGCUGAGUGUUUCAGGCUAGGGGUGGGAAUGCGUGGUUGCCAUUCUGAUGUUCCACGAUGGGGAGAAUCAGAAUUUUCAAAGGCAUCAUUGACGCUAAAUGAGAAUGAAUUUAAGAAUGCUCACUAACUAUGCUGACACGACCCGCUUAUCAACUAGCAAUAACAAAAAUAAAUAAAUAAAUAAAUAACCAGCAGCAAAGACAACUUGGAAGCCAAGCACAUGGUCAAGUGCAGCGGCAGAGGUGGAUGUCAAGUUGGUUGCAGCAGUCUUGGCUGGGAGGUGAUGAUGUAAAGGAGUCACCAGAGGCAGAAAACCAAAGGAAGCUUCCUAAAAUGAAGAGGCUGGUUGGACAACGUGACAAACCAACGCUCCUACCCCAACAGGUCAUGGGAAGAGAACAAGACAAUCUAUUAAAAACGGCAGCUGCACUAUAGUGAUGGGUAGUGGAUACUCGAGCCCUCUCAGUACUAUUUUUGUUAACUUCUUAGGUGCCUAUACUUAUCAAGAGAAAAAACUGAAAAACAAAACCCGCAGCUGUCUGAAAAAGUUAUCCUCAAACUAAGAGCAACAAUCAAAAGUCAAAUCUUACUACUGGAUAAUUAGUCCCAGUGAUUCCAGUUCUAAGACAUUCAGUAGGGAAAUGAAGAAAAUGUAUUUAACAAACGCCUGGCCAAGCCUCUUGUGUCCUUGUUUCAUUCACAUGGACAGACAACAUUUGUUACCUUAGAAACCAAACUGUAAAUGAAUAACGAUAAAUGGCAAAAUUCAGAUUUAUAAAUCAGACUUAACAAUUCUAAGCUCUCAAAAACAGACCCAUCCUUUUUCGUCUGAGCAGAAACACUGUUGAUUGGAAGAGAUUCUGUUAUUUUAUGUACCAUUAAGAAAGAACCAAAGUUUGCCAAUUAACUAGGACACAAUGGAUGAAAGACAGUCUUUGGUAACAAACUGGUUUCUCAGAGCUUUGUUCUAAGGGGAUUCAGUAAUUUCUUCUGCCUCCAGCUGCCUUGCUUGUCCUAUGAUCAGCAGUCCGUUUCUGCAUCGAAUUCAAUACCAAAACUAACAGGGUUUCUACUACUAUCUUCCUAGCUGUUGGUGUGAAAGAAAAGGUGGACUUUCAGUACUUUCUCCAGCAAUGAACAUUUGCUUUACUAGUAUUAAAUUUUACUUCCUGCUCUUCUCAUCCAUUCUGUGUACACAAUAACAUUUUGUU
Molecule: non-coding RNA, 2736 nt
Organism: Oryctolagus cuniculus (rabbit)
Lineage: Eukaryota; Metazoa; Chordata; Mammalia; Lagomorpha; Leporidae
Source: RefSeq, a predicted model, not a curated record